AGCAGCCGCGGUAAUUCCAGCUCCAAUAGCGUAUAUUAAAGUUGUUGCAGUUAAAAAGCUCGUAGUUGAACUUCAGGCCUGGCUGGAUGGUCCGCCUUCUGGGUGAGUACUGUCUGUGGUCGGGUCCUACCUUCUGGCGAAGCGUCAUGGCCUUAACCGGCCGUGGCGGGGAGCCAGGACUUUUACUGUAGAAAAAUUAGAGUGUUCAAAGCAGGCACGCGCUUGAAUACAUUAGCAUGGAAUAAUGGAAUAGGACAGUGGUUCUAUUUGUUGGUUUCUAGGACCGUUGUAAUGAUUAAUAGGGAUAGUUGGGGGCAUUAGUAUUCAAUUGUCAGAGGUGAAAUUCUUGGAUUUAUUGAAGACUAACUACUGCGAAAGCAUUUGCCAAGGAUGUUUUCAUUAAUCAAGAACGAAAGUUAGGGGAUCGAAGACGAUCAGAUACCGUCGUAGUCUUAACCAUAAACUAUGCCGACUAGGAAUCGGGCGAUGUUGACAAAAUGACGCGCUCGGCACCU
This 515-nucleotide ribosomal RNA is filed under the name uncultured Glomeromycotina. Its description in RNAcentral is "SSU rRNA". It matches the Rfam family "Eukaryotic small subunit ribosomal RNA", at positions 569 to 1088 of the family's 1831-position model. The record is from RNAcentral. Lineage: Eukaryota; Fungi; Glomeromycota.